CGCCCACCGCUUGGCUGCCCAUAGCCCCCCCGCCGCCGACCGAGCCCGCCGGCCGCAGGGACCUGGCAGCCCCCGGGGGCCGGCAGGACAGGAGCGCGGAGUCCGGCACCCACCUCGGGGUUGGGACUCGAGAAACUGUCUUUGAGGCCCGCAGAGGACACGUCUCCAAGGACGAGUGUCAGCCGGGUCUGACGGCUGCAGGACACAACCGAGGAAGAACCGUGGUCCUUUCUCAACUAGCCAAGCCCUGGUGAAUCCCUUUCCCCUCAGUGCCAUUGCGUGAAGUGGGCUUCUGCAGGUACUCCCGAGAUGGGGGGAUGCCACCGCCCUCACCCCCUGGAUUGGAGACGCUGGACGUUCCGAGAGUUAAGACUGCUCCCCUGCUUUCUGACCUAUGGGACGAGCAGGAGUCUUUUGCGAAUCUUACACUGACUGAGCUGGCAUGACCUGAGAGGAUCACUUGGUCAGAUCCUUGAUGAGGAAAAGGAGGCCCAUGUGGUUUGCGGGAGGUGGCGAUGAGUGGCUGAGCAGGAGCCUGACCUUGGUCUCCAGACCCAAUCCCAGAGUUCUUCCCUGGACAUGGUCACCUGCUGCGGUGGGGGAUCCUCGUGCGGUAGAGCCCACCGUCUUCACUGAUCUAAGACUUCUGUUUCAAGUGGAGUCAGGGCCCUGUGGCCUCCCAGGGGUUCUCCCCUACCAGCACCCAUCACAAACUGCUCGUGGUGAUAAUGACUUGUGCGAAGGGGGCCCCCUGGAGGCUAAAAUCCUGCACUGCAGGCAGCACUCCUGUCCCUACCCCAAGUCCUUGCAGCUGGGGUGGGUCCACUGAAGGAACACAGAACCUCUGAACUGAGGAGUUUUGAGAGCCCUAAAGGGUCAUCCAUCUUUUUUUUUUUAAGUUUCAUGUCAUAUAUAUUUUACCACAAGUAAAAGAAGACAUUUCCACAUCCAUCAUCCAACUGAAUCCUCCCAAGGUCCCAGGGAGUGAGCAGCCAUGACCACACUCUACAUAGAGGACGCUGAAGCAGACAGAGGCGAAACAGCCUGAACCAAGUCUCACCGCAGAGACAUCACAUUUGGGAAUCCAUCCCAGAUUUGCCCACUGCCGAAACAAGGGUGAUUAUCAGUUAGGUGCAUUGCACCCGUUACCUACCCUCACUGUUAAGGUCGCCUUAGUUGUUGCUACAAAAGACUUGCACAUCCUCCAGAUCUUACUCAGACUAAACCGUAAGAUGUUUGCCCAAGUUGUUUUUCAGGAACUUGGAGUCAGCUGUGUCCAGUGCAUGCUCCAGCCAGUUAAGACUGGUUAGGACCGUCAGCCCCUUCCUGGGCAUCUGAGAGUGUCCACUCGAUGAGGGGGUUAUCCAUCUUAAGUUCUCUGUUGUACAAAUGGGAAAAGCACCGCUGACUUGCCCAAGGUCACGCACCAGCAGGCCCAGGGCUGGCGUCCAUGUCUCUCAGACUUCCAGCCCAGUGGUCUUCCCACUUUACCUCGCCUCAGCACCCCCAUCACAUUUAGGCUCAUGUGGGGGCCCCCAGAGUCCCUCCAUCACCGUGAACAUGCAGGCUUUAUCUAUAAUGGAGCUGGAGGGCAGAGGUGCUUGGAUGGAGGAGCAGGUAGGAUCGGGCCUCUUUCCUUGAGGGUCAGCAGGGGCUCUUGGGGGGCUCCUGGGGCGGUGAGGAUGCAGAGUCGUCCAGGACUCUCAGAGGAGUGUGCGCAGGGGCCGGUUGUGACGCGCCCCGUGGCUGACUAGCAGGGGUGAUUUUGCCCUAGUCAUUUAACCUCCCAAGCCCCAAUUUCCUCACCUGCAAAAUCAGUAUAA
This is a long non-coding RNA of Mesoplodon densirostris (Blainville's beaked whale), 1823 nucleotides long. RefSeq lists it as uncharacterized. The record is from RefSeq and is a predicted model, not a curated record. NCBI's taxonomy places the organism in Eukaryota, Metazoa, Chordata, Mammalia, Artiodactyla, Ziphiidae. The transcript is spliced from 3 exons.